UACGGUAGGGGGCUAGCGUUGUCCGGAAUCAUUGGGCGAAGCGCGCGUAGGCGGCCCGGUAAGUCCGCUCUGAAAGUCCAGGGCUCAACACUCGGAUGCCGGUGGAUACUGUCGGGCUUGAGUACGGAAGAGGCGAGUGGAAUUCCUGGUGUAGCGGUGAAAUGCGCAGAUAUCAGGAGGAACACCAAUUGCGAAGGCAGCUCGCUGGGACGUUACUGACGCUGAGACGCGAAGCGUGGGGAGCAAACAGG
This 251-nucleotide ribosomal RNA is filed under the name uncultured bacterium. Its description in RNAcentral is "partial 16S ribosomal RNA". It matches the Rfam family "Bacterial small subunit ribosomal RNA", at positions 524 to 776 of the family's 1533-position model. The record is from RNAcentral.